UUUAAGGUGUUUCUUUCCAUCUCGUUACGCUCGAAUAUUUGGAAGAGUCCACUUGCAAAAACUCGACAUGCAAUGAGAGGAUUCAAAUUCUAGAAGACUUGUUCCAAUAAAUUCCUUUUGCGCUGUUUGAAAGCAAGUGUAAAUGACUUACGAUUGUUAGAUGAGAUCCAUCCGGCGUGGGCGUAAGAAGUUUUAACGCCGGCCACAUCCCAAAUCCAAACAAGGCAACAUUAACUGGAAAUCAUCUUCGUCGUCAGCGUCAAAAUCGCGAUAUAUAUUUUUUGCUGAUUGAUUUGGAUUUGCAUCAAGGCAAAUGCUGCCAGCCUGCCUGUUGCAGUAAAAAUUAGCCCCGAGGUUGCCACCACACAUGAAAAUUUCGUUGUUGCUUGGCUGAGAGAUUUCAUCGCAAAGAAUGUCGCAAUAAGUUUCAUCGACAGGAAUCAGUUCAUUAAUUGUUCUGUCGUCGAUGCACAUGCACUGAACACCUCUAAUCAAAAUAAAGUUCGUGUAGCACAUGAAGCAAGCGGAAAAUCCAAUUUCGUUGGAACCAGCCCCAUUAGUAACAACCGCUUGAAGAUCGAACGGCGAAUAACAACCCAGAGACCGAACGUUGGAUUGUUUCCAAACAUUAUUGCCUCCACGUGAAAGUAAAUUUACUGCUAGCAUGAAAGCACUUAGCAUAGAUCCCAACAUAGUUUAGUGGAGAAAAAUCAAUCAAUAAAUCGCAACAAACGCACUCGUAAAGUCGCACAACUCGCCAGCUUGACACAUGGUUUCUAACUAGUUCGCUAUUCAAGUCCACGGGAGAUAUCACAAUGUUCAUAAUCAAGUCGCCGGGGUAACUUUUCAUCCGAUAAGUGACAGGUAGCUCGUCACACAAACAAAACAAAGUACCACCACAGUUCAUCAUUAUCAAGCAAACAAACAAAAAUACCUGUUGGUGCUCUCU
This is a long non-coding RNA of Daphnia magna, 949 nucleotides long. RefSeq lists it as uncharacterized. The transcript has 2 exons. The record is from RefSeq and is a predicted model, not a curated record. NCBI's taxonomy places the organism in Eukaryota, Metazoa, Arthropoda, Branchiopoda, Diplostraca, Daphniidae.